GGCCGACUGGCGAAAUGGCAUCGCGUUUGACUACGACCAACGGCUUAUGUAAUGCUUACGUAAUCAAGAGACUGCAGGUUCGACCCCUGCGUCGGUCA
Non-coding RNA from Fomitopsis serialis, 98 nucleotides. The record is from the annotation of a RefSeq genome assembly. NCBI's taxonomy places the organism in Eukaryota, Fungi, Basidiomycota, Agaricomycetes, Polyporales, Fomitopsidaceae.